UACGGAGGUGGCAAGCGUUGUUCGGAAUUACUGGGCGUAAAGGGCGCGUAGGCGGCCAUCUAAGUCAGACGUGAAAUCCCCCGGCUUAACCUGGGAACUGCGUCUGAUACUGGAAGGCUUGAGUAUGGGAGAGGGAUGUAGAAUUCCAGGUGUAGCGGUGAAAUGCGUAGAUAUCUGGAGGAAUACCGGUGGCGAAGGCGGCAUCCUGGACCAGUACUGACGCUGAGGCGCGAAAGCUAGGGGAGCAAACGGG
This 253-nucleotide ribosomal RNA is filed under the name uncultured bacterium. RNAcentral describes it as "partial 16S ribosomal RNA". It matches the Rfam family "Bacterial small subunit ribosomal RNA", at positions 524 to 776 of the family's 1533-position model. The record is from RNAcentral.